GCGAUCAGGGACCUCUAAUCGGGAAA
This 26-nucleotide ribosomal RNA is filed under the name Mielichhoferia elongata. RNAcentral describes it as "partial 26S ribosomal RNA". Lineage: Eukaryota; Viridiplantae; Streptophyta; Bryopsida; Bryales; Mniaceae. The record is from RNAcentral.